GCGAGUCUUUGUAGUAAUACAAGGCAGACGGCUCAGUAACACGUAGUCAACCUACCCUAUGGACAAGAAUAAUCUCGGGAAACUGGGCAUAAUUCUUGAUAGAUCAUAAUGCCUGGAAUGGUUUAUGGUUAAAAUGAUUCGUCGCCAUAGGAUGGGACUGCGGCCUAUCAGCUUGUUGGUGAGGUAAUGGCCCACCAAGGCGAUUACAGGUACGGGCUCUGAGAGGAGAAGCCCGGAGAUGGGUACUGAGACACGGACCCAGGCCCUAUGGGGCGCAGCAGGCGAGAAAACUUUGCAAUGUGCGAAAGCACGACAAGGUUAAUCCGAGUGAUUUCUGCUAAAGAAAUCUUUUGCCAGUCAUAAAACCACUGGUGAAUAAGGGGUGGGCAAGUUCUGGUGUCAGCCGCCGCGGUAAAACCAGCACCUCAAGUGGUCAGGAUGAUUAUUGGGCCUAAAGCAUCCGUAGCCGGCUUUGUAAGUUUUCGGUUAAAUCCACGUGCUCAACGCAUGGGCUGCCGAAAAUACUGCAUGGCUACGGAGUGGGAGAGGUAGACGGUACCCAGUA
Molecule: ribosomal RNA, 565 nt
Filed under: uncultured archaeon
Lineage: Archaea
Description: bacterial SSU rRNA
Rfam family: Archaeal small subunit ribosomal RNA
Source: RNAcentral